RNAcentral lists this non-coding RNA (46 nucleotides) under Schistosoma margrebowiei. Lineage: Eukaryota; Metazoa; Platyhelminthes; Trematoda; Strigeidida; Schistosomatidae. The record is from RNAcentral.
GCACUGCUGAAGAGUCCCACAAUGUGAGGAAACGGCCGUCCAGUAC